Miniopterus natalensis is the source of this 4639-nucleotide RNA transcript. It is a transcript of the gene named THO complex subunit 5, with no coding region annotated. The record is from RefSeq and is a predicted model, not a curated record. Lineage: Eukaryota; Metazoa; Chordata; Mammalia; Chiroptera; Miniopteridae.
UUCCGCUUCUCUAUGGCGCGCGGGCUGCGGUCUCCGGGCCACUUGAACAGGUCUCUACUAUUUCUUCCUGACCUCACCAAACAACCAUGUCAUCAGAAUCGAGCAAAAAAAGGAAGCCCAAAGUGAUUCGAAGUGAUGGAGCUCCAGCUGAAGGGAAGCGCAAUCGUUCUGACACUGAGCAGGAAGGUAAAUACUACAGUGAGGAGGCUGAGGUGGACCUGCGGGACCCUGGAAGAGACUAUGAACUGUACAAGUACACAUGCCAGGAGUUGCAGAGACUCAUGGCUGAGAUCCAGGACCUGAAGAGCAGGGGAGGCAAGGAUGUGGCAGGUGAGAUUGAAGACCGCAGGAUCCAGAGCUGUGUGCAUUUCAUGACUCUAAAGAAGCUGAACCGAUUAGCCCACAUCAGGUUGAAGAAAGGAAGAGAUCAGACCCACGAGGCCAAGCAGAAAGUAGACGCCUAUCACCUGCAGCUCCAGAACCUGUUGUAUGAGGUGAUGCACCUACAGAAGGAGAUCACCAAAUGUCUGGAGUUUAAGUCAAAGCAUGAAGAAAUUGAUCUGGUCAGUUUAGAGGAGUUUUAUAAAGAGGCUCCUCCAGAUAUCAGCAAGGCUGAAAUCACCAUGGGAGACCCUCACCAGCAAACCCUUGCACGUCUGGAUUGGGAGCUGGAGCAGCGGAAAAGGUUGGCGGAGAAGUACCGAGAGUGCCUGUCCAACAAGGAGAAGAUCCUUAAGGAGAUUGAGGUGAAGAAGGAGUACCUGAGCAGCCUCCAGCCUCGCCUGAACAGCAUCAUGCAGGCUUCCCUCCCAGUGCAAGAGUACCUGUUCAUGCCUUUUGACCAGGCUCACAAGCAAUAUGAGACGGCCAGACACCUGCCACCUCCCCUCUAUGUCCUCUUUGUCCAGGCCACUGCAUAUGGGCAGGCCUGUGAUAAGACGUUGUCUGUGGCGAUCGAAGGCAGUGUGGAUGAAGCCAAGGCUCUGUUUAAGCCUCAUGAGGAGUCCCAAGAUGACGAGAGCGACUCGGAUGCUGAGGAGGAGCAGACCACGAAACGCCGGCGACCCACACUGGGAGUUCAGCUGGAUGACAAACGCAAGGAGAUGCUGAAGAGGCACCCACUGUCUGUCAUGCUGGACCUGAAGUGCAAAGAUGACAGUGUGCUUCAUCUGACUUUCUACUAUCUCAUGAACCUCAACAUCAUGACAGUAAAAGCCAAAGUGACAACCGCCACGGAGCUGAUCACCCCCAUCAGUGCAGGUGACUUGCUAUCUCCUGACUCAGUCCUGAGCUGUUUGUAUCCUGGAGAUCAUGGAAAGAAAACUCCAAAUCCAGCCAAUCAGUACCAGUUUGAUAAAGUUGGCAUCCUGACUUUGAGAGACUACGUACUUGACCUGGGUCACCCCUAUUUGUGGGUACAGAAGCUGGGUGGCCUCCACUUCCCCAAAGAGCAGCCCCAGCACACGGUGAUUGCUGACCACUCACUGAGCUCCAGCCACAUGGAGACCACCAUGAAACUGCUAAAGACCAGAGUGCAGUCCCGCCUGGCCCUCCACAAACAGUUUGCAUCCCUGGAACAUGGCAUUGUACCAGUUACUAGUGAUUGCCAGUUCCUCUUCCCUGCAAAGGUUGUGUCCCGCCUGGUGAAAUGGGUGACGAUUGCCCAUGAGGAUUACACGGAGCUGCAUUUCACCAAAGACAUUGUGGAGGCAGGACUGGCCGGGGACACCAAUCUCUACUACAUGGCUCUCGUGGAAAGGGGCACAGCCAAACUCCAGGCUGCUGUGGUGCUGAACCCUGGCUACUCCUCCAUCCCACCCAUUUUCCAGCUCUGUCUGAACUGGAAAGGGGAGAAAACCAACAGCAAUGAUGACAAUAUUCGGGCCAUGGAGAGCGAGGUCAACGUGUGCUACAAGGAGCUGUGCGGGCCCCGGCCGGGCCAUCAGCUCUUGACCAACCAGCUGCAGCGCCUGUGUGUGCUGCUGGAUGUCUACCUGGAGACAGAGAUCCACGAUGACAGCGUGGAGGGGCCCAAGGAGUUUCCCCAGGAGAAGAUGUGUCUGAGGCUUUUCAGGGGUCCCAGCAGGAUGAAGCCAUUUAAAUAUAACCAUCCUCAAGGAUUCUUCAGCCAUCGCUGACCUCCUGCUUGGCCUGUUGUCUCCCGCCCUAAGUGCUGUGCCUCUGCUUUCUCCUCUGGUCCACAUGUGGCUCCUGCUAGUCUCCAAAGACAGGAUUUCAUGAAGUCGAUGAGUGAUUUUGGAGAAUCAUAUGCAGAGCUUCCACCUAGUGAAGCUCUGGCAGAGAGACCAGGUGGCACCCGAGAAUCUUCAUGGUGAUGACAGGCUAAGUGCCUCCAGAAAUAAUGAUUUGACUCUCAUAGGAUUAAGAGAAGUCCUGGAGAAAUAGGUAACACCUUCUAAAAUGUUUGCAAAAUUAUCUCUUUUGUAAUCCUGCAGAAGUGGAACAAAGUGAAGGAUGGCAUCAAGUGUUCUCAGAUAGGUUUGUCAGAAAAACUAGACUCCUCCAAAUCAGUACUCUCUUUAUUCUUUACUCAUUUUAAGAAGUCAUAUAAAGAUGUAAAAAUAUUUUAGUUGCAAGUAUAAUAUAAAGCUUGCUAGCUACAGGAUGAAAUAAGUUUUUUUCAGCUUUAUUGAGAUAUGAUAUUGUGUAAGGUGUACAACAUGAUUAUUUAAUAUUCUGUAUAUUGCACAAUGAUCACCACAAUAAGGUUAGUUAACACCAUUAUCUCACAUAGGUAGUUUUUUCUGUGAUAAGAACUUUUAAGAUUGCUCUUAGCAAUUUUCAAUAUAUGUAAAUUUUAUUUAUAUGAUAGUCCCAAUCAAAUGGUUUAUUUUCUCCUACAACAUACUUUGAAGUUUGGUCCCAAUGUACGUGUAUUUGUUCUAAGAGUACCUCUGGUAUAAAAGCUGUUAUCCUCCUGUCCUCACAGCUGAUUGCUGAGCACCCAGUGACAAGGAUUUUCUAAGGAAGCACUGGGAGACUCCUCGCCCUGGCAGGGCCCUUCAUUUAACAGAUGGAAACCUGAGGCCAGUGAGGAGAGAAGGGCUCUUAGAGAACCACCACUACCUGUGUCCCUCUUUCCCUUCAUCCUACAUCAUUCCUUUGAAUUCCUGAGGUAGAAACUCUCCAGCCCAGAGGUCCUUGAACUUCAACAUGUAUGAGUCACUCAUCCUGGGAGCCAACUAGAAAUGCAGAUCCCCAUGCCCUACUCUAAUAUUCGGGCUCAGUUGACUCAAGAUGGGCUUGAGGAAGUGUAUUUUUAAUGAGCUUCCCAGGUGCACAUUGCCCUAGUCUCUUUGGAAGUUGCUGUACUUCCUUCAUUUUUAUUGGUGACUCCUCAAAUAAUGCAGAAGCGCCCCUUUCUCUGUGGGCAGCUCCCCCUCUUCUGUCUUCUUCACCUUGGGCAGCAGCAUGAGCCUUUGGGUGCUUUUUCCUCUCCACAGAAUGAGAUCUCCUUGUCUUUUCUCUGACCUACUUGCCUGGGACUCUCCCUGCCAGCACCUCCUUGGCCUGGCCACCUUCAGGCUUUGAGUCUCACCGCCUGUGCUGAAUAAGAUUGAAAUGGGGCCUAAAAAUAGUUCUUUUAAUGGCCUCUGCAUUGCAGUCUCCACUGCGUUCUUGGCUGGAAGGCAGCCAAACUGACUCAGCACCAAAGCUUGUCUCCGGUAGCCGGUAGCCGGGACAAGGUUGCGAACAGCUUGUGAGGGCUGGGAGGAGGCUUGGUUUCCUAGGCAGGGAUGUCAGAGCCUGUCACCCUCCAGAAGAGGUUUUUCUUCUUCAAAGGAGAAGACUGAACAAAAGAAUCCUUUGGCCUUAAGGAGAAGGUUUUAAAACUAGUGAGAAGCCCAGGAUAAUCCAGCCCCUUUGAGCUAGUUAACUGAGCCAUUUGUGCCCUGGCUGGCAGACUAGGGGAAGGGACCCAGCUUGCUUCCUCCUUACCCAGAAUUGGCCUUGCCUUCCCUGGGACACAUGUGCCUUGGUUGGCAGACUAGGGGAAGGGACCCAGCUUGCUUCCUCCUUACCCAGAAUUGGCCUUCCCUUCCCUGGGACACAUCCCAGAAUACAGGCCUUUUCUGUCCUCCUGCACCUGGGAGGGACUCAGCACAGGUACCAUGCCUUUUCAAAGCUGCCAUCCAUAUGUUCUUGAUUUCUUACCUUCUAGUUUCUCAGUUUUCUCCCCAGCUUGCCCUUUCCUAACUUUACAAAUAAAUCUAAAAGACCCUUUUUAUUUUAAGGGUGUUCCUGUUGAUCACUCUUGGGGAAACAAAGCUAAAAACCCUAUUCAUGGGAGGGAGCAGAGCUGCCAGUCUUCCCAAGGAACUUUAUCCCCAUCAGUGGAGCCCUGUCUCUGUCUUUCCAUGGUGUGCAGCAGCCUAUCAUGGUGUUAAGCAUCUAUUUUGGGUCAGGCUCUGUGCUAGUCACGAUUUUACAUUCACUGUCUUAUUUAUUACAACAGUCCCCAGGGUACACAUUCCCUUUGCUUUCACUGAUGAGGAAACUGAGGCUCAGAAGACUUGUCCAUGCUUAGAUGGUUCUCAAGCUGCCCAGCUAGUCAAUGCUGCUCUCUCUCAGAGUCUCCACUCUCUUCCCUCCAGGCACUUGGUAGGACAACUCUGCC